RNAcentral lists this unclassified non-coding RNA (263 nucleotides) under plant metagenome. Its description in RNAcentral is "partial contains small subunit ribosomal RNA, internal transcribed spacer 1, and 5.8S ribosomal RNA". The record is from RNAcentral.
UUUCCGUAGGUGAACCUGCGGAAGGAUCAUUAUUGUAUAACCGAGGUGCGAGGGCUGUCGCUGACCCGAAAGGUCGUGCACGCCCGAGUGCCCUCACACACAUCCAUCUCACCCCUAUGUGCACCACCGCGUGGGUCCCCCUUUGGCUUGUUCGGAGGGGGGCUUACGUUUUCACACAAACUUUGUAUGCAGUGUAGAAUGUAUUUUUUGGUUCUGCGAUCACGCAAUCAAUACAACUUUCAACAACGGAUCUCUUGGCUCUC